RNAcentral lists this small RNA (74 nucleotides) under Xanthomonas hortorum. RNAcentral's name for it is "sX9 sRNA". It matches the Rfam family "Xanthomonas sRNA sX9". The record is from RNAcentral. Lineage: Bacteria; Pseudomonadati; Pseudomonadota; Gammaproteobacteria; Lysobacterales; Lysobacteraceae.
GUGUACCAGACGUACACUCCGGUUCUCCGCGCCGUCCGCAUCACCUGACGACCGCUCGCUACCUGUUGUUGGCC